CAGCAGGGUGGAUCGUCAUCUCAACAAAAUUAUGGAAGUAGCCAGGGUGGAUCAACAUCUCAACAAAGUUAUGGAAGCAGGCCGGGUGGCUCAUCAUCCCAACAAAAUUAUGGAAGUAAUCAGGGUGGAUCAUCGUACCAGCCAAGUUAUGGAGGCAGCCAGG
Molecule: long non-coding RNA, 163 nt
Organism: Euleptes europaea (tarantolino)
Lineage: Eukaryota; Metazoa; Chordata; Lepidosauria; Squamata; Sphaerodactylidae
Exons: 4
Source: RefSeq, a predicted model, not a curated record